UAGUGUUAUUUUAAAAUUUAUACCAUAUUUUACAUUUGUAUUAAUGUAUGCUAAACUCUUUUUCAUGGUAAAUGAGCAUCUUUCAAUUGUUUUUAUCAAAUAAUUUAAUAAAACUUCAUAAUACUCCCUCAAUCGAUGGAAUAACCACUAUAAAAUUAUUGUUUUCUUGAUAAACGGAGACGGAAAAGGCUCCAAAUCUCUUUGAACAUCAUCAUAUGUUAGUGCAGGAUGAAACUAGGCAUUAAAACAAUAUUGUCAUAUUUUUUGAAAUUUUCUCAAAAUCUAUGGGCUAACACCUACAAAAAUAUUGAGUUUUUGGUAAAU
RNAcentral lists this long non-coding RNA (324 nucleotides) under Brassica napus (rape). Its description in RNAcentral is "long non-coding RNA (BNAP_LNC000918)". The record is from RNAcentral. Lineage: Eukaryota; Viridiplantae; Streptophyta; Magnoliopsida; Brassicales; Brassicaceae.